GGUUAAAAUAGUUUAAUAAAAUAAUAAUUUUGUAAAUUAUAGAUACGUAAAAUGUUUUUAAUUA
This 64-nucleotide transfer RNA is filed under the name Psyttalia lounsburyi. RNAcentral describes it as "tRNA-Thr". The record is from RNAcentral. Lineage: Eukaryota; Metazoa; Arthropoda; Insecta; Hymenoptera; Braconidae.